RNAcentral lists this ribosomal RNA (254 nucleotides) under uncultured bacterium. Its description in RNAcentral is "partial 16S ribosomal RNA". It matches the Rfam family "Bacterial small subunit ribosomal RNA", at positions 524 to 777 of the family's 1533-position model. The record is from RNAcentral.
UACGUAGGGACCAAGCGUUGUUCGGAUUUACUGGGCGUAAAGCGCGCGUAGGCGGACCUGCAAGUCGGGGGUGAAAGCCCGAGGCUCAACCUCGGAACUGCCUUCGAUACUGCGGGUCUCGAGUCCGGGAGAGGUGAGUGGAAUUCCUAGUGUAGAGGUGAAAUUCGUAGAUAUUAGGAAGAACACCAGUGGCGAAGGCGGCGCACUGGCCCGGUACUGACGCUGAGACACGAAAGCGUGGGGAGCAAACAGGG